GACGAACGCUGGCGGCGUGCUUAACACAUGCAAGUCGAACGGAAAGGCACUGCUUUUGUGGACUGCUCGAGUGGCGAACGGGUGAGUAACAGGUGAGUAACCUGCCCUUGACUUUGGGAUAACUUCAGGAAACUGGGGCUACUAUCGGAUAGGAGCCCCCGCUGCAUGGUGGGGGUUGGAAAGUUUAGGCGGGUGGGGAUGGACUAGCGGCUUAUCAGCUUGCUGGUGGGGUAGUGGGUUACCCAGGGUUUGACGGGUAGCCGGCCUGAGAGGGUGACCGGCGACAUGGGGACUGAGAUACGGCGCAGACUGCUACGGGAGGCAGCGGUGGGGAAUAUUGCACAAUGGGCGGAAGCCGGAGGCAGCAACGCCGCGUUCGUGAUGACGGCCUUCGGGUUGAAAACCGCUUUCGCCUGAGACGAAGCGGGAGUGACGGUAAUGGGUAAAGAAGCACCGGCUAACUACGUG
RNAcentral lists this ribosomal RNA (468 nucleotides) under uncultured bacterium. Its description in RNAcentral is "partial 16S ribosomal RNA". It matches the Rfam family "Bacterial small subunit ribosomal RNA", at positions 28 to 507 of the family's 1533-position model. The record is from RNAcentral.